CUUGUAUCGUAUGCAAAUGCAGGCGUUGACGUUGAGGUCACGUGGCCGGGCGCGGGGCUGUCUCCCCGAUGUUGCUACAUUCCGCGCUGCGAUUCAUUGUAACUAGGAGAAGCGCUACAAUGUAUCCAGGUAAAAUUUUCCUGUGAUGCAGCCAACAAAGGUCCUCAUUAGAGCUGUUGGCAAUCAGUAAAGGCAGAGCUACCACCACUUGAAGUAGUGCUGGACGUGCUUCCUUCAAGAGACCAUUGGUCUUCGGGAAGACCCUCGACCAACCGCCCUCUAUUUUCCAGCCACUGAUGGCUAGCAAACGGAAGUCAACAACGCCGUGCAUGGUUCGUGCUGCAGACGUGACGGAGCAGGACCCAGACUUGGAGAUAGUUGGGCAGGCUGGUGGGUCUCCGCACCAGUUGUCUGACGAGAGCUGCCCGGCAGAUAAUGGAAUGAGUGAUGGGGAUCAGGGUUUGGAGAAAGCUGCCUUAGACACUCGACAAACCAGGAAGCUGGAAGGAGGCUAUGAAUGUAAAUACUGCACCUUUGAAUCACAGGACUUGAAUGAAUUUACAGAACAUGUUGAUACUAUACAUCCAAAUGUUAUCCUCAAUCCGUUUUACGUCUGUGCAGUUUGUAACUUUACAACAAAAAGGUAUGAUACUUUUACUGAUCACAAUAGUAGGCAUCAUCCAGGAGAGAGCAACUUCAAGUUGAAGUUGAUAAAGCGCAGUAACCAGACCAUUCUUGAACAAACUGUCGAAGAUCCCACUAACGGCGGGAAUGCAGAUAAAGAGGAGAUCCCUCCUGCUGGAAUCUCCAUCAGCAAGACUCCCAUCAUGAAGAUCAAAAACAAAGCUGACGGCAAAAGGAUAAAUGUGUUGCCACGAGUGAAAGAUGAAUUUGGCACCACGCAGGAGAGCAAGGCAGAAGAGAGUGCCAAUGGUCCUCUCCAUGGUGGUUUGGUUGUUCCAGAGACCGUGAUCAAGGAUGGAGUGGCUCAUGUGAUGCCUUCUAUACAGCCACCACCAAACAUCAAUCUAAUACCCAAAGUCAUGAUUCCCAUGCAUGGCUCCAAGUAUAAUGCUGCCAUGGACAUCAACAAAAACCUGAUAGGCUCCUUUAACAAAUUCCCCUACCCUACCCAAGCAGAGCUGUCUUGGCUGACAGCGGUGUCAAAGCAUCCAGAAGAACAAAUUAAAAUGUGGUUCUCAACGCAACGCCUUAAACAUGGCAUCAGCUGGGCUCCCGAGGAAGUAGAAGAGGCCAGGAAGAUGAUGUUUAAUGGUACUAUCCAGACGCCAACAAUCACCGUUGUGCCAGCACAAGUACCAGCCACUACCAAAGGCAACACGCAGCAGGUUAUCCAGACCGGAGUGCCGUGCCAGUUAGUUGGUCAGACAGGUAUUGUAUUAACUCAAGUCGCAAACGGGGCGACGGUGUCGUGCUCCCCUAUCGCCUUGACCAUGGCCGGCAGCUCAAGUCAAGCCCAAUCUCAGAAGCGGGGCUUGCUGUCCUCCCAAGCAGGAGCAGAUUCGAAGCGGGCGAACGUCGUCCAGGUCUGCCAGCUCUCAUCACAAGGUGGCUCGGUCUUGUUCUCCCCGGGCAGCACGGACGUCAGCACAAGCCGCAAGAAGACCAAGGAGCAGAUGGCAAAACUCAAAGCCAGCUUUGCCAUCAGUCAGUUCCCCAACGAUGAUGAGGUUUUCCGGCUGAUGCAUGUCACCAAGCUCUCCAGGUCAGAGAUUAAGAAGUGGUUCAGCGACAACCGUUACCGAACACAGAAGGGGCACUCGAGUCACGCCUCCGCUGAAACCACAAUCACCAUUCCUCAUGAACCUACUGGUGGCCAUGGAGCUCGGAAGUCCGGAUGGAACACGUUCUCUGACUUUGGGCCCCAGAAGUUCAAAGAGAAGAGUGCAGAGCAGCUGAAAGUGCUGGAGGAGAGCUUCCAGUACAGCUCCUUCCCGACGGACGAGGAAAAGGAUAGACUGCGGGUGGAGUCCAAGCUGACCAGGAGGGAAAUAGAUGCCUGGUUUUCUGAGCGGAGAAAGCUGCGUGACUCUUUAGAAGGAGGGAUUCUAGACAUGAGGAGAGCGGAGCUGAAGCAAGAAAAUAUAAAAUCGGAAAUAGCUGAAAACGUCCACAUAAAAACCUCGCACUCUGCUCCACAUUACCUGUCCAAGUCUGGGACUCCCCCUCCAAGCGGAGCACUGCAGCAUAUUAAAACCACCAGUCCAAUUGACAAGACUCAUAAAAAGAGCCAGGAACAGUUACAUAUCCUGAAGAGUGCAUUUGCACGCACACAGUGGCCAACUGUGGAGCAGUAUGACUCUUUAGUAGUGCAGAGCGGUCUGCCACGAAACGACAUAGUGCGUUGGUUUGGUGACAACAGAUACGCAAUUAAAAAUGGCAAUUUGAAAUGGCUUGACCAGUACCAAAGAGCAAAUUCAGAUGGUCAUAACGGGCAGAGUAACCUCAAUGGCAGCGGGACACGAGGUAGCAGAGGACACAAAACAGCCGGUGUUUGGAGCGGAGCAGCGCAUUCGACACAGAGCCGGGCUGGUAAGUCAGUCCUGUUGCAGUAUUACCUGCAGCACAGGCAGCUGAAGGAAGAAGACCUGGAUGAGUUGGUGUCAAAGUCCAACAUGAGCUACGAGCAGGUGAGGGACUGGUUUGCGGAAAAGCAAACAGAAGACGCCAUGGACACAUCUGAGAGCAACAGCAGAGAUGGGCAAUGCAGCGAGGAGGAUGAGAAUGAAGACUGGAGUGCGGUGGAUGAUGUAAAUGAGAGAGAUGACUAUGUCCUGUCUGAGUUCACUGGCAACUGGGCUCAUGCAUCACAGUGCAGCUCAACUGGGUUUAAUGAACUGGAUUCAGAAAGCAUGUCUGCAGAAAAUUCGAACAUAUAGCUAAGAUUCCAAGGCAUUAUUUCAAGGAUGACCAGGGAAGUUUUCCCUGGUGUCCCAACCUAUACUGAUCCCUCAAUCAAUGUCAGGAAAAAAAAAACAAGGAUGAUCUAGCCAUUAUUAUUUUGUAGGAUCCUUCCAUGCACAGGAAACCAAAUGAGAAAAUAACUGACGCACAUUGCAACAUGUGUCUAAAGAAAACUACAAUUUCUAUUCUCUACGACACAAAGAAAGUAACUGAGGCUUUGUCUCACGCUCUGUAUUGUGUAAAACAACAAACAGAGAUGGAAUGAAGGACUGACUUACUGUACAAGUAUCUUUCCAAAAGUGAGAGAUUCAAUUCUAUCCACAGUGCCAAAGUUUUACUACUGCAAUUGAAAGGGUCUUUGUAAAUAUUUUUUUCUGUUUUUGAACAGAUUUGUACAAUUUAGGAAUUUUAUUACAUUUAUAACUGGUGAGAGUUAACUUUGCCCUUAGCGUCCCUCUUGUUUUUUUUUAGAUUUAGUAACCACUAUCAGGCUCUUGUUUUGGCAUCUUUUACAAUCACUACUUCACGACUAGAGGGAAAUAAAAAAAAAGUUUGGACCUCCAGAUCAAGGAGGACUGAGAUACUGAAUCAUGUUUUGUGUCCAGUAACAUCUUUAGAUCUCUGAUGUACAAAAUGGCAGGAAGAAAACAUUUAACAAGCACAUUAUUGUUAGAAGCUUUUUAUUGUAAGAGGCUACAUUUAUAAUGGAAUGCAAACUCCUCUAGCCAGCCUUCACUCAGCUAGAGAUGUGCAAUAUUGACUUAUUUAUGUCAGUAUAAUAUCAUCAUUAAAGUUGCAGUAACUUGUUUCCUAUCUUUUGCAAGAUUGCAUAUUCAGAAAAUAAACUGUGUUGUCCCCAGUUUGCAUUUUGUUAUCAUUUUAGUCGCUACCAAAGUUUGGAGAUUUAUUGGCAGUGUGGGUACUGAGUUGGAUUUUGGAGUUGGGCUGAUGCGUCUGUGCUGUUAGCAGCUGACGAAUGGCAUAAAUGUCUGAUUCUGUGAACUCGUACAAGACCUCAACUUGCAUCUCAAUCAUGAAUUCAUAUUCCAUCCUGAUAACUGUCUGGGAACACUGCAAGAUAAGGAGCUGCACAUUCAAAACAGAUGCAUAGAAAUUUCUUUUCACAGAGGGUGGUGAAUCUCUGGAAUUCUUUGCCCCAGAGGCUUGUGGAGGCCAGAUCAUGGAGAUAUUUAAGGUGGAGG
Pristis pectinata (smalltooth sawfish) is the source of this 4127-nucleotide RNA transcript. It is a transcript of the gene named zinc fingers and homeoboxes protein 2-like, with no coding region annotated. The record is from RefSeq and is a predicted model, not a curated record. The transcript is spliced from 4 exons. NCBI's taxonomy places the organism in Eukaryota, Metazoa, Chordata, Chondrichthyes, Rhinopristiformes, Pristidae.